UACGUAGGGUGCAAGCGUUAUCCGGAUUCACUGGGUUUAAAGGGUGCGUAGGUGGGCAUGUAAGUCAGUGGUGAAAUCUCCGGGCUUAACCCGGAAACUGCCAUUGAUACUAUAUGUCUUGAAUACCAUGGAGGUGAGCGGAAUAUGUCAUGUAGCGGUGAAAUGCUUAGAUAUGACAUAGAACACCAAUUGCGAAGGCAGCUCACUACGCGGUUAUUGACACUGAGGCACGAAAGCGUGGGGAGCAAACAGG
RNAcentral lists this ribosomal RNA (253 nucleotides) under uncultured bacterium. Its description in RNAcentral is "partial 16S ribosomal RNA". It matches the Rfam family "Bacterial small subunit ribosomal RNA", at positions 524 to 776 of the family's 1533-position model. The record is from RNAcentral.